Molecule: transfer RNA, 76 nt
Filed under: Coprothermobacter proteolyticus
Lineage: Bacteria; Pseudomonadati; Coprothermobacterota; Coprothermobacteria; Coprothermobacterales; Coprothermobacteraceae
Also listed under: 3 other names
Description: tRNA-Glu
Rfam family: tRNA
About the family: Transfer RNA (tRNA) molecules are approximately 80 nucleotides in length.
Source: RNAcentral
GGCCCCAUCGUCUAGAGGCCUAGGACAUCACCCUUUCAAGGUGGAGGCGGGGGUUCGAAUCCCCCUGGGGCCACCA